RNAcentral lists this unclassified non-coding RNA (621 nucleotides) under Hevea brasiliensis (rubber tree). Lineage: Eukaryota; Viridiplantae; Streptophyta; Magnoliopsida; Malpighiales; Euphorbiaceae. The record is from RNAcentral.
CAUUUUCCAUAUAUAAAUUAUUUUAUUCGAAAUAAAUGGAGGCUUAUUGUCUGUGCAAAUUGGCAAUUGUUUACAUGAGAAAGUUAAUCAUAACAUUUCAUUUGUAUAUUUGCUUGUUUGAGUCAUCUUUAUUUUUCUUCUUUCUUGGUGUUUCUCUUGUAUGCCAGGUUUUUGUUCUCUUUCUUUUGAUCACUAUUAUUUUAUAUAAAAAAAAAAUUGACGAUGCCUUAUUGUUUGUUGUUACUGAUAAUUUUGUGAUUUAGGUUGGUUUGCUUGAGAGUGCAUCCGUCCUUUAACCUCUUACAUCCCAUGAAAACUUUUGUCUCAUUCACUUCUGUUGAUGGAUCAAAGCAUGAAAUUCGACCUGAUUCUGGGGAUCGAUUUUAUGAAGGGAAUCUUAUGCCAAAUGGUAGUUAUGCUCUUUUUUUCCUUCUUCAUUUUAUGAAUUCUUUGUUUUUUUAUUUUAUAGAAAAAUGUGAAAGCAUAUGCAAAACAAAAGAAAACUUUGACUAUAAAAAAAGAUGAACAAGAUGGUCAAAAAACAAUGUUUCUGUUAGUAAAAUCCACAUCCACUCAAGUUUGUUCUAAUUGUUAAUAAGGCGUACAUAAAUGAUGAAUUUU